Molecule: long non-coding RNA, 4005 nt
Filed under: Sus scrofa (pig)
Lineage: Eukaryota; Metazoa; Chordata; Mammalia; Artiodactyla; Suidae
Description: lncRNA (ENSSSCG00035008444.1)
Source: RNAcentral
GAGAGAAAGAAGCCCACACCAAGGGUUGUCCCAGGCUCCCGGUGUGUUUGCUACUGCCUGCUGCACAGAGUUCCGACAGGGUCCUCCCUUAACAAGCAAAGAGGAAAAUCAUCUCUGUUGCGAUGCCAGUGUGACUCGGCAAAGUUGCAUCUAGCGUGCGCGUCUGUCCUGGCUGAGGGGGGCUGAGAGAGGCUUUGCUGCCCUUUUCCCCCUUGAAUACGAGUUUCUCGUGACUUUCCACCACCCUGAACUCACAAUGAUCCGUCAAGGACCUUCUCCUAUUUCCCUCCCAGCACCAUCCUAAUUUCCUCCCUUCAGUGGCUUCUCUCCUCUUCAUGAUCACUUUAUCCCUUCCUGGACCAGAGGAAAUAACGAGAGACAGUGCCUCCUCCGCUGAAAAUCCACAGCCAGGCAUGGACCCCUCCUCACCACCUCCUACUAUGGUACUUAAAGACCUCACCAUGAAAAACUGGAUUGCAUAAAGGACUGCUCCUGGACAGAGACCCCUGGCUUGUUAUAUUUGCACAACUGGACAGUUUUCAUGGCAUAGAUUGGAUGGACUCUGUCAGUGACAGGAGGCAAUGUCCCUCCUGAAGGAGGGAAGGGAGUCUCUUCACUAGCAAAUACUCCAGUUUCUCAGCCAUUGGGGAAAAAAAAAAAGAUCCUGUGAUUCCAACCAUGGAACUGCUACUCAAAACAACUGCAAGAAAGAGGAAGUAGAGACCACGCGAGGUAUUUCCGUGUAAGACUGUUCCACCUUGAGAAAAGAAGCAAAAUGUGGAAAUGGGUCCUUCGCUGGAGAAUGGAUUAAAGAGUCUUUGGUCUCCUUCUGAAUUGUGCUACUUAAUUUAUCAUCACCACCAUCAUCAUCAUCUUUGUUGUCAUCAUCUCCAUCACCCGUGCUUCCUACAUGCCAGAAGUGUUGUGUUCCCUGGUUGAUCUCAUUUAAUUCUUCUGACAGCAAUAUGAGAGAUUUUGCAAUACUAAUGACAAAGAAAGCCUGGUGGAAUCACCUACUGGGAAGGCAGUGGUCCAGCUUUGGGUAAAUCUGAUUCAUUUACUCAGCAAAUAUUUAUGGAGCACUUACCAUGUGCUGUCAGGUUGUUGGGAUACAUCCGUUAACAAGAAGGAAGAAGAUUCCUGUCCUUAUUCUAGCAAAGAAAGCAGGAUUCAAAGCACUUCCUCUUAAGUAAUAGGCCUUGGCAGCUAUGCAGAGCAUUGCAGUGAGAAGCUGCUGUCUUGGGGGAGCUUUACUGCUUUUGGAGAUUUAAUACUGAUCUUGAACUUGAGGUGUGUCUGCAUGAACUUCUAUGCACCAGAAACUUUCAUUUCAAUGCUGAAAUGUGGGGUAAGAUUUUGGUGAAAUUUUAAACAAAUUUAGGGAACUACCUUAAGUAAAUUCAACCAGGUAUCACAUGCAGUCUUACUUUGGAAUUGUGAAAAAAAAAUAAUAAUAAGAGUGGAAAUAUGGAAAGAGAAUGCAAUAGCUACAACAGCAUAAACAUUGACUAUUAAGAAUCAAAAUAAUAUUCAUAAAAAAUAUUCAUUAAGUUAGGUGUCAACAUUUGUAAGAAAUGCACUGUUCCUGGCUUCGAGGUGGAAGAAGGCCGCCACAAGCUAAGGAAUGUGGGCCGCAUCUAGAAGCUGGAAAAGGCAAGAAAACAGUCUCCUCUAGAGCCUCUAGAAGGAAUACAGUCCUGGUGACACCUUGGUCUUGGCCCAGUGAGACCCAUAUCAGAUUUCUAACCUACAGAACUAUAAGAUAGUACAUUUAUGUUUUCUUAAGCCACUAGGUGUGUAAUCAUUUGUUACAACAGCCACAGGAAAGGAAUGCAUGUAUGGUUCUCUACAUUUUUGGUCUCUGCAGAGACAGGGUGGAUGGGGCCAGGAGACUAGCUCUGGCACUUAGAAUGGGGGAUGGGUGUGAUUUGCCCCCUACCUGGGCAAUGUGCCAUGACCUCUCUCUCUGGUGGUUGGACAGCUGAAUGCAGAGGGUCAGUAGAGGGUCAAGGAGGCUCUAGUGGAUGGCAGAGUCGCUGUUUGCAAGGAGCCUUGAAUCUGAAGUCACCACUUGAAAGAGUGUUGCCUCUGGGAGCUGCCCCAACCAAAUGCAUGAGUCUUAAUCCCCUGAGUUCCCAGAGUUCAUUUUUCCCUGCAGCAGAGCUGCUUCUAGUCUAACUCCAGAAUCUCCAAAUCAGAUUAUUUUUUCUUUUUAAAAAAUUUUUAAAGAGUUUUUUUUCUUUUUUUUUUUUUAAGGGAUCAAACUUCUACAUGGGCAAAGUCAGAACUUUGUUGGGCUUCCUUAGCCUUAGUUUGUAAUUCAGUCUUUUUAAAAUUUCACGUAGCACAUGGAGAGCAUUGUAAUCAAAUUUCUAUACUUAGGGCUUGUGACGGUCUUAAACCAGUGCUACUUUCUUGGCCACGGAGGCACCCACAGCCUCACAGUGCAGACAGACAGCUCAUUGGUCUCUUACAGGCUCUUCUGGCCUUUUCCUAAAUAUGCUCUCCAGUGCCAUAAAUUUCUACUUUUGUCCAGAGAUUCCUUUUUCUUGGAAUAUGUACCCCACCCCUUCCUUUAAGCUCAGCUCAAUUCCAUCUCCUUCAAGAUGCCUUUCUAGAUUCUCCAAGGAAUAUGAAUUUCCUUCCUCCAUGAUUCCCUGUGUUCUUUCGUAAUACUUAUUAAUGGAUCCCUGUCCUCUCUACCCAAGUACACACACAGGCACAUCCUAAAAUGUAGCUUCCAGAAGGCAAAUAUCAUCCCAGGCUCACUGUGGUCCUUCACCAUAAGAUAGUGCUCUAGGGCAGUAAAUGCUCUGUGCAUUUGCAAAUUUUAGUAAAACCUCUGCGGCUGGUGGAAGAGUUUUGUUUUGUUUGUUUAAGCAGACAGGAUCACGUGGUGCCUUUUAUAUUAUCAUAUAGGACUGGUCCAUUUAUAUAGAGCAAGGGUCCCCCAAGAUUCCUUGUUCAUCAAAAUCUGAAUGACUAAACCAGGCACUGUGCUAAAGGGCCGGAGCACCACGUACCCUGUGGAACUAUCAAAUGUCACCCACUAGGACAGCUGCAAACCACAUAUAGAGUGUACCUACUACGUACCAGACUUUGGGCAGGUGAUCGACAUCAGCCUGAGCCUCUGGCCAGUCCUUCACUUUCUAGGACUUCUUCCCUUUCAGGGAAAUUUGGCCUCCCAGCAUCUGGGGAACAAGCUGCUUAUUUGCUAAUAUCUGUUUGCACAUCAGGGUUUUUUACUUUUAGGAACAGUUUGUCUCUCUGGCAGAUCUCCGUGUUCCCAUACCGUUGUUUAUGAUGUAACUAAGCAUCUAUCGUAUAGAAUUGAACUCAAUUCUCUUUUGAAACUGCAAGAGAUCUAACCCGCUCAUUUUCUUUCCAUUUAACAUACGAGAGGGGUGUGUAGGAGCAGUUUAUUAAGGGGGAGCUGUUUAUUGAGGGAUCCUGGGGCUAAUCCCAGCCCAUUAUUUCUCCAUUUCCUUACAGCUCACUGAGAAGGGUGGGAGAGAACAGGAACGGGGAGACUAUUCUUUCCUGAGUGAUUGUUUGGCCAGUCCACAGGGAUCCUGACUUUCCUACACCCAUCAGGGAAGUAGCAUCCAGAGGGUCAUUCCAGGGACAGGGCUGGCUGUGUCAGGCUGUAAUGAAUGGUUCAGACUGAGAAGUGGAACUUGGCCAACAACAGGGAAAGACAAUAAUCAUUGGAAAAUUUAGGCAUUGAGAAUAAGAUCCAUGUCUGUCUUAUGUCCCCUGGGUACCAACACAAUGACUUGGCUUAGUAACUGCCCCAUAAUGUUUAAAUUAUGUUCAGUGAAUGAGUGAAUGAAUGGAUGCCGUAUUCUUGCUUCCUUCUCCAAACACUCUUUAUAAAAUUACGGCAUCUCAUUCAUGUCUCCUCUAUAAAUCGGGAAUUUGGUGAGGCAUGCUGUUUAUUGCUUAGGAAUCAUUUUACUUAAUCACAAAGGUCCCAGGGGUUCAGGCGGGGAAAAAAAAAAAAAA